UGUUGAUGAAAUGCUUCGGGGCCUAGA
RNAcentral lists this small RNA (27 nucleotides) under Bombyx mori (domestic silkworm). Its description in RNAcentral is "ovarian small RNA-9210". Lineage: Eukaryota; Metazoa; Arthropoda; Insecta; Lepidoptera; Bombycidae. The record is from RNAcentral.